GCGGCCUAUCAGCUUGUUGGUGAGGUAACGGCUCACCAAGGCUAAGACGGGUAGCUGGUCUGAGAGGACGACCAGCCACACUGGAACUGAGACACGGUCCAGACACCUACGGGUGGCAGCAGUCGAGAAUCUUUCACAAUGGGCGAAAGCCUGAUGGAGCGACGCCGCGUGGGGGAUGAAGGGCUUCGGUCCGUAAACCCCUGUCAUUCGUGAACAAACCUUCAUAUUGAAUAGGUAUGAAGCUGAUAGUAGCGAAAGAGGAAGGGACGGCUAACUCUGUGCCAGCAGCCGCGGUAAUACAGAGGUCCCAAGCGUUGUCCGGAUUCACUGGGCGUAAAGGGUGCGUAGGUGGCGGGGUAAGUUUGAUGUGAAAUCUCCGGGCUCAACCCGGAAAUUGCAUUGAAUACUAUUUCGCUAGAGGAUCGGAGGGGAGACUGGAAUUCCU
This 445-nucleotide ribosomal RNA is filed under the name uncultured Verrucomicrobiota bacterium. RNAcentral describes it as "bacterial SSU rRNA". It matches the Rfam family "Bacterial small subunit ribosomal RNA", at positions 233 to 671 of the family's 1533-position model. The record is from RNAcentral. Lineage: Bacteria; Pseudomonadati; Verrucomicrobiota.